CGCGUAUACAAUCUACCUUUGCUGUGGGAUAGCCCAGAGAAAUUUGGAUUAACACCACAUGGUAUUAUAAUUCGGCAUCGUAUUAUAAUUAAAGGUUACGGCAAAAGAUGAGUAUGCGUCCUAUUAGCUAGAUGGUAAGGUAACGGCUUACCAUGGCAACGAUAGGUAGGGGUCCUGAGAGGGAGAUCCCCCACACUGUUACUGAGACACGGACCAGACUCCUACGGGAGGCAGCAGUGAGGAAUAUUGGACAAUGGGCGCAAGCCUGAUCCAGCCAUGCCGCGUGCAGGAAGACUGCCC
This 300-nucleotide ribosomal RNA is filed under the name uncultured Psychroflexus sp. RNAcentral describes it as "bacterial SSU rRNA". It matches the Rfam family "Bacterial small subunit ribosomal RNA", at positions 114 to 417 of the family's 1533-position model. Lineage: Bacteria; Pseudomonadati; Bacteroidota; Flavobacteriia; Flavobacteriales; Flavobacteriaceae. The record is from RNAcentral.